This 245-nucleotide long non-coding RNA is filed under the name Medicago truncatula (barrel medic). RNAcentral describes it as "lncRNA gene11008". Lineage: Eukaryota; Viridiplantae; Streptophyta; Magnoliopsida; Fabales; Fabaceae. The record is from RNAcentral.
GUGAUUUGUGUUUAAGACAUAUUAAAAGAUAAUGGUAAGAAAAUCACACAAGAAAGUUAUCAUGAUUUGUCCAAUGUGGGCUUGUCCAAUCCCCAAUUUUUUUGUGAGAUUAUCCAUUAUAGUUUCCAACUAUCAUAGACUCUUUAGAUAAAUAACAAUGCUCUUUUCUUUAUUACACUAGAUCAGUUUCUUACACUCUUUAUUACCAACCUCAUUAGACUUUAUAAUUCCUAAUUUGCUUUCGC